Molecule: long non-coding RNA, 1687 nt
Organism: Setaria italica (foxtail millet)
Lineage: Eukaryota; Viridiplantae; Streptophyta; Magnoliopsida; Poales; Poaceae
Exons: 3
Source: RefSeq, a predicted model, not a curated record
CUACGUUUCGCUGGAUGGUUAGGGAAUCAGUUCCCGUGGAAGUGCAUCAGAAUCAGAGCGUUUAUUCGCCUAGAAUCCUAUCCAAACACGGCCCAAAUCUCUCCUCCACCUCCCCGUCGCCACCCGCCUCCUCGCGCUUCCCCACCAUGGCUCCCAGGCCGCCGGCGCCGGGGGAGGGGAGACCGAGAUGCAACCCGACCGCGGCUCGCUUCCGCCUCCCCUACCGCGGCUGCUGCGGCGAUCCAACCCGACCCCACCUCCACUCCGCCGCCGCCGCCCUCGCCGUACGGAGCAAGGGUCCCGGCGGCCGCGAGCACCCAGCGCCGCCGCCUCCGUCCACGCGUCCGCACGCUACCACCGUCGCGCCCUCGACUCCUCCGCCCGUCCCCGGCGGCGAUCCGGCCGGCCCCGGAACCCUAGGGUUCCGCCGCAGCAGGAAGCUGGAAGGAAGCGUGCUUUAGUUGAUGUGUGUAGAUAUGGCAAAGGAAAUUGUGAAAAUAAAUGGUUAUUCUAAUGUUUUCAGGCCAUCACUGCAAAUAUGGAUAUGGCUCCAUUCAAGCUGGAUAUUGAUGACCUGAUAGCUGAUUAUGCCAAGGAAAAUUUUGUCAAAAAAAUUAUGUGUGUUAUGUAUGUAUAGUUAUAUACUCGGAUGAGUAGGUUUGGAAGCAUGAAAUAGUGUUCUACAAAGACAAGUAUAAGAAAGCAACCAGAGAGAAAGAGUGAUUAAAAACCAAGGUAUCUACCCAUCACUGAAUUUUCUAUCUAUUUCAGCUGUAUGGAUUAGAAUUACAUAUCAAUACAACUGCACUUUCAAUUGUGGGCUGUUAAGUGAAAAUGAUUAGUAAGCAUUUAAGUCUGGAGCUAUUCAAAAGAGUUUUAACCAUAUUAUCUCCUGCCCAGAAUUAUCUCGGCCCAUCUUCAGCAGCUUCAAAUGAAAAUUUGGGACAGCACCAAUUCAUAUGUUAUCUAACUGUUGUUAGAGUGCAAAUUGCUUAUCCCUUUUAAGUUAUUCAUAUCUAUAUUUGUGCAUGACUGUAACAUAAUUCUUGUGUUUUUGGUCAGAUUACCCUUUGAUGAUAAUGCAAAUGUUUUUGGUCAGAUCAUAUGUUCUUCUCAUGUGCAUUCUGUUAAUCGUUUGUUGUUGGUACCAUGGCACUAAAUAAGCUCCAGGUACAUGCAUUUUGUUGAAUACGUCCAUUUUGGUACCAUGUGCAUUCUGUUAGACAAUUAUGUUCUGCUUGAUGAAUACGUCCAUUUUGGUGACUAUAGCUUGGAUGCAUUAGUAUAUCAAAAUAUGCACACUUACACACCGACACACCAUAUAUGAACAUGCAGCUUUGAGGAUGAACUGAAGCUUGUCAAGCUAAGAGGAGAAAUUAUGCAGGUUCGUCUACAGAAACACUAAGGGAUUAUUUGUUUGAUAUUGUACAAUGAAUUGUCCAUCAUCUGUGUAGGAUAGGGAUACUUAAGAAGCAGCCAAUGGUGUGAUGGUUAGUGACUUACUGUGAUUGGCCAAUAGUGCAAACUUUCUCUAUUCUGUAAGAUUAUUGUAAUGUAAGAUUGUAAUCUGGUGCUACUAAUAAUUGUGAUGUAAAGUGAAUCUUAAGAUGAACAAUUGUUGUUGGAAAUUACACUUCACGCAUGUAUGCAUGUGUGAUCAGAGGAGGAACUUUCCUGUAGCUUUUAA